GAUGAACGCUGGCGGCGUGCCUAAUACAUGCAAGUCGAGCGAACAGACGCGGAGCUUGCUCCUCUGACGUUAGCGGCGGACGGGUGAGUAACACGUGGAUAACCUACCUAUAAGACUGGGAUAACUUCGGGACACCGGCGCUAAUACCGGAUAACAUGUUGAACCGCAUGGUUCAAUAGUGAAAGUCGGCCUUGCUGUCACUUAUAGAUGGAUCCGCGCCGCAUUAGCUAGUUGGUAAGGUAACGGCUUACCAAGGCAACGAUGCGUAGCCGACCUGAGAGGGUGAUCGGCCACACUAGAACUGAGACACGGUCCAGACUCCUACGGGAGGCAGCAGUAGGGAAUCUGCGGCAAUGGGCGGAAGCCUGACAGAGCGGCCCCACGUGAGUGGAGGAAGUCUUCGGAUCGUAAAGCUCUGUUAUUAGGUAUAAACAAAUGUGGAAGUAACUAUGCACGUCUUGACGGUACCGAAUCAGAAAGCCACGGCUAACUACGUG
RNAcentral lists this ribosomal RNA (497 nucleotides) under uncultured bacterium. RNAcentral's name for it is "partial 16S ribosomal RNA". It matches the Rfam family "Bacterial small subunit ribosomal RNA", at positions 28 to 507 of the family's 1533-position model. The record is from RNAcentral.